Molecule: long non-coding RNA, 2791 nt
Filed under: Ananas comosus (pineapple)
Lineage: Eukaryota; Viridiplantae; Streptophyta; Magnoliopsida; Poales; Bromeliaceae
Description: long non-coding RNA (ACOM_LNC032752)
Source: RNAcentral
GUACGUGCUGCGGCACGGGGCAGCACUUUAAACCUUGCUAUCAACCAAACAAGAAAUUACAAAAAGGAAAACAAAUUUUCUUUUUCUUUUCAUACAAACCAAACAACAAUAACUAGAAAACAACUUUUACUUUCCUUCUAACCAAACAUCACAAAUCAUAAAAUUAGUUUUCAGCGGAAGUCUUUUUCGUCAAAAAUAAGUUUUCAUACUUUUACGUAGAACCAAACACACCCUUAGCUCUCACACUUCCAAUAGGUCUCUGAUACCAAAUGUAACGACUCUCAAGCCCAAUCACAUAUAGCUCAAGAUUCCCUAGUAUGUGAAACUCAUCUCACACUUUCGGGUUUUGGCUAGCAACAAAGCUUUGAUACCAAAUAUAACAACAGCCCUCUAGCAUAAAAGCUAUCAAACAUGAUUUCUCGAAUCUAGAACCUAACAAUCGAGUGCAUACCUAGAAUCCUCCUUAAGUAUGAAAGGCCAAAUAUAAAAUUUCUCUAUCAAUUUUCAUGACAUAAAAGAUAAAUUUUUGAACUAAAAACUAAUUACCUUCUAUUAAUAGAAGUAAACAAAUAUUCUCCAAACUAAAACAAUGUGUCCCAAAAUAAAAUAAGUUGUCCAAAUAGUUAAAUAGCAAAUUGGUUAAAGUUCUCUAGGUCCUUUCAAUGCUGUAAAUAGCGGAUUGUGGGUACAUAGUGUUUGGGAGGUAUCAAAGCGGAUAGCGGAUAAUAGGCACAAUGACGAUCGCUAUGAACCCAUAGCGGGAUUUAUAAUAAGUUAGUUAAAUGCUUUUAUUCCUAACUACAUUUGUAUUUAAAAUAACAACAAUCACAUACUAGUUCAAAUAUAAAAGCAUAACACUCUUAAUUUCUCUACAUUUAUAUUCUAAAUAGUGUUUCUACUUAGCAUAGUGAUCCUUUGUAACACCGGUAAUGCUUAACGGCCACUGAUAAACCAGUGUUGUCACCAUAUUGCCUUUCUUCGCAAGAAUAAAAUUAUGAUUUUCUGAUUCGUUUCUCCUAAGAAACAUGAUUGAACAAUUUCUCCAAUUUCCACUAAAUACUUUAUUUCUUCUAUUAGGACAAUUUCUUAUAAUUUUGCGGAUUAUAGGAUUAAACUAACCUAUCGGAUCUUUAAAAUUUUGAGAUCUAAAAAAAACUUGCUUUUUGUCCUACUAUGGCGGCCCAUACAAACCAUUAUAGCCGUAGCUGCCGCUAUUUAGAACAUAGGUCCUUUAACUAAUGUUGCAUCCAAUCCCACGACUACUACUAAUGCUUCCCUCCUAAAACCAUUAAAUAACUCUUUAUGAGCAAAUGCCCAACAAGAUUUACAACAAACAAAAAUAACAAAGGAUAUUACCAUAAAUAUAACCACAUAUAACCAUAGCAUAUCCAUAAAUUUCAUAUUCACGUUCUCUUUAUUAUUUUUGCACGUUAGUUUCCAUUCCCAAAGCUUCAUUGUCAAAGCAAAUUAAUUCCAAUUCUCGAGGCUCCUGUGACCAUCCUAUAGCAACCUCCUGACCCAAAGUUGCGCAUACACUUUGCAAAGGUUCCAACUCCCGAUGGAGAAAUAAUUCUCAUUGCGCAUACCCUCUACAGAGUUCUUAAAGGCCCAACAUAGGCCAGCUUCCACUCCUAGAAGCAACAUAAUUAAUAAUUAAAUAUCAUGCAUUCAUAGUUUUUCACAAUUAUCCCCAAGUUUAUAAUCAAGAUUCACAUUUCCAGAUCGAUAUCACAAAUUCAAAGAAAAUUUACAUAUUCGUAAUAUUCUUAGAAAUCAUGCCAAACCAAUAUAUUAGCAUGUCAUGUACGAGAGAAACUAACAAAAGCAAAUAACUUGUAAUCAUUAUUCCAAUAUAUCAUGCAAAGAAGAUCUCUAAGUCCCAAGUAAUAAGGGUCUACUUGCCUCCUAGAAGUUGAUAAAACUAUAAAGUUGCUUGUUUACUGGCCCUCACUUGUCCUAGCACCUAAAUUGGAAUUAAUUUUCCAUCAUUACAAACUUUAGAAUAAUUUUCCUUCUUAACAGUUUUGUUCUAGAAAUCCGGCAAUUAAUAUGAUUCUAAUUUGAGAAAACAAACACCAUGGUCCUGUUCGAAUUUUUGAGACAAAAGCGUAGACAUCUUGCCAACUCAAAUUCGAACUAUAACAAAAAAGUAAUAGUCAAACUACAGUUCAGCCCCUAGAAUAAUACUGCAUAUUAGCAAAUGAGUCCCACCAGCAAGGAUUUAAGGCCAUGGCACGGGGUCGUGCCGGAAACUUGCCGGCACGGUACGGCACAAUGCAUGCCCGGCCAUGCCGAUUAGUGCCGCUCACAAAAAAUAUAUGUGUGCUGACACGUAAUGGCAUGAAAUAUUUAUUGUUUUUAGUAACAAAAUAUGUCAAUUAUUUAUUAUGUAUUUUUAUCAAAUCUUUUGCACUUUAUUGAGAAAAUUACUUACUAAUUUCAAGAAUAAAGGAUUUUGAGUUGUGCCAUUGGUACAGGAACUUUAUCGUACCGAUAUCUUGCUGGUAUGAUACAGCACGGUGGAUACGGCCCGUGUCGAUAGGCAAUUUAAUCCUUGCCCACCAACCAUAUAAGACCUUCUAGCCCCUCUACUUGGUCCAGAAAAGGCCCAUUAGAUCCCUCUCAAAUCAGGCCAUUUUAGGCCUAUACAAAGCCAUUCUAGAGUGGGUUUUGGACUCAAAAGUAGGCCUAACCCCAGACUUUUUCCUUCUAUCUUUUCCUUUCUCUUUCCCUUUCCCCUUUCCCUUUCCUUUUCUUUUUCUUUCCCUCCUAACCGACCAUGGCCAACCAU